GGCCCUCGGUUACACUCAUCACCCUGUGACAUACCUAAAACGUUGCUUCGGCGGGAACAGACGGCCCCGUGAAACGGGCCGCCCCCGCCAGAGGACCCCCUAACUCUGUUGCUAUGUGUUUUUUCUGAGUAAACAAGCAAAUAAAUUAAAACUUUCAACAACGGAUCUCUUGGCUCUGGCAUCGAUGAAGAACGCAGCGAAAUGCGAUAAGUAAUGUGAAUUGCAGAAUUCAGUGAAUCAUCGAAUCUUUGAACGCACAUUGCGCCCGCCAGUAUUCUGGCGGGCAUGCCUGUUCGAGCGUCAUUACAACCCUCAGGCCCCCGGGCCUGGCGUUGGGGAUCGGCGAGGCGCCCCCUGCGGGCACGCGCCGUCCCCCAAAUACAGUGGCGGUCCCGCCGCAGCUUCCAUUGCGUAGUAGCUAACACCUCGCAACUGGAGAGCGGCGCGGCCAUGCCGUAAAACACCCAACUUCUGAAUGUUGACCUCGAAUCAGGUAGGAAUACCCGCUGAACUUAAGCAUAUCAAUAGCCGGGAGGAA
This 538-nucleotide ribosomal RNA is filed under the name Fusarium sp. 9 ZW-2012. Its description in RNAcentral is "eukaryotic LSU rRNA". The stretch from base 150 to 303 matches the Rfam family "5.8S ribosomal RNA". The record is from RNAcentral. Lineage: Eukaryota; Fungi; Ascomycota; Sordariomycetes; Hypocreales; Nectriaceae.